GUAUGGCUCAGGAUGAACGCUAGCGACAGGCUUAACACAUGCAAGUCGAGGGGCAGCACAGGGUAGCAAUACUUGGGUGGCGACCGGCGCACGGGUGAGUAACGCGUAUGCAACUUACCUAUCAGAGGGGGAUAGCCCGGCGAAAGUCGGAUUAAUACCCCAUGAAACAGGGGUCCCGCAUGGGAAUAUUUGUUAAAGAUUCAUCGCUGAUAGAUAGGCAUGCGUUCCAUUAGGCAGUUGGG
This 242-nucleotide ribosomal RNA is filed under the name uncultured bacterium. Its description in RNAcentral is "partial 16S ribosomal RNA". It matches the Rfam family "Bacterial small subunit ribosomal RNA", at positions 17 to 253 of the family's 1533-position model. The record is from RNAcentral.